Molecule: ribosomal RNA, 274 nt
Filed under: uncultured bacterium
Lineage: Bacteria
Description: partial 16S ribosomal RNA
Rfam family: Bacterial small subunit ribosomal RNA
Source: RNAcentral
AUACAGAGGGUGCGAGCGUUAAUCGGAAUUACUGGGCGUAAAGCGCGCGUAGGCGGCUACUUAAGUCAGAUGUGAAAUCCCCGGGCUCAACCUGGGAACUGCAUCUGAUACUGGGUAGCUAGAGUUUUAGAGAGGGAAGUAGAAUUUCAGGUGUAGCGGUGAAAUGCAUAGAGAUCUGAAGGAAUACCAGUGGCGAAGGCGACUUCCUGGCCAAAAACUGACGCUGAGGUGCGAAAGCGUGGGUAGCGAACAGUAUUAGAUACCCUAGUAGUCC